UUAGUGGCGAACGGGUGAGUAACACGUGGGCAAUCUGCCCUGCACUCUGGGACAAGCCCUGGAAACGGGGUCUAAUACCGGAUAUCACUUCCACUCGCAUGGGUGGGGGUUGAAAGCUCCGGCGGUGCAGGAUGAGCCCGCGGCCUAUCAGCUUGUUGGUGAGGUAAUGGCUCACCAAGGCGACGACGGGUAGCCGGCCUGAGAGGGCGACCGGCCACACUGGGACUGAGACACGGCCCAGACUCCUACGGGAGGCAGCAGUGGGGAAUAUUGCACAAUGGGCGGAAGCCUGAUGCAGCGACGCCGCGUGAGGGAUGACGGCCUUCGGGUUGUAAACCUCUUUCAGCAGGGAAGAAGCGAAAGUGACGGUACCUGCAGAAGAAGCGCCGGCUAACUACGUGCCAGCAGCCGCGGUAAUACGUAGGGCGCAAGCGUUGUCCGGAAUUAUUGGGCGUAAAGAGCUCGUAGGCGGCUUGUCAC
Molecule: ribosomal RNA, 480 nt
Filed under: Streptomyces sp.
Lineage: Bacteria; Bacillati; Actinomycetota; Actinomycetes; Kitasatosporales; Streptomycetaceae
Description: bacterial SSU rRNA
Rfam family: Bacterial small subunit ribosomal RNA
Source: RNAcentral